This 450-nucleotide ribosomal RNA is filed under the name uncultured bacterium. RNAcentral describes it as "bacterial SSU rRNA". It matches the Rfam family "Bacterial small subunit ribosomal RNA", at positions 354 to 796 of the family's 1533-position model. The record is from RNAcentral.
GUGGGGAAUAUUGGACAAUGGGCGAAAGCCUGAUCCAGCCAUGCCGCGUGUGUGAAGAAGGUCUUCGGAUUGUAAAGCACUUUAAGUUGGGAGGAAGGGCAGUAAGUUAAUACCUUGCUGUUUUGACGUUACCGACAGAAUAAGCACCGGCUAACUUCGUGCCAGCAGCCGCGGUAAUACGAAGGGUGCAAGCGUUAAUCGGAAUUACUGGGCGUAAAGCGCGCGUAGGUGGUUUUGUAAGUUGGAGGUGAAAACCCCGGGCUCAAACUGGGAACUGCCUCCAAAACUGCAUGACUAGAGUACGGUAGAGGGUAGUGGAAUUUCCUGUGUAGCGGUGAAAUGCGUAGAUAUAGGAAGGAACACCAGUGGCGAAGGCGACUACCUGGACUGAUACUGACACUGAGGUGCGAAAGCGUGGGGAGCAAACAGGAUUAGAAACCCGGGUAGUCC